Molecule: non-coding RNA, 30 nt
Filed under: Rattus norvegicus (Norway rat)
Lineage: Eukaryota; Metazoa; Chordata; Mammalia; Rodentia; Muridae
Source: RNAcentral
UUCUCAAAGAGAACUUAAGUAAACAGAGUG